GCACCCUCUUGGCCACGGACGGCCAGAACCACAGUGCCGAUCUUUGCUUGGAGUUCUUGGGAGGCCUAUUUGUUCGUUUUUGAACACCCGGCCAUCCUUGGUGUUGGCAGCCCAGACGAUCGACGCUAAUGUGCAAAAGCCCUGCACCAGGGAAGGGGCUGGACUGUAAAUAGGAAUGUUCUGGAACGUGCCGGAACCUGUGAUGUCUUCAUUCCAUUUCACAGACCCCGAUGGGGCAGAGAGGCAGGGACUUGCUAAAAAGUCCCAGAGCCAGCACAUGUUGUAAAGGUAGGACUCACACCCAGAUCUCUGGGUUCUGAGCCCAAAGGUGCCCUCUCUGAUAUCUUCUGGCGCUCUACAACCUGGCCAGGGCCCAAGGGUCACCAAACCUUUGCUCCUCUGGGAAGAAAGCCCAGGCAGAAGCCGCCUCCCGGUCUCCAGGGAACGAAUGCCCUGUCAUUGACCAUCAUAGCCUAGAGGAUGCUGGGAAACACCCUCUCAGGUGACCCCUGGCCCCGCAGAUACCCGGGCGGCCCCGGCGGCACUGGAUGAGCCAGACCGUGACUUUGUACAGGAAGAGCUCGCCUUUUCUAGAAUCUUCUGUAAACGGAAACUUACAGUAUGCAGCCCCUCGAGUCUGGCUAUGUUCACUGAGCGUAACGGGUUGGCCAUCCAUCCGUCGGCCAUUGCUUGCAUGUUCGCGGCUCGUGCCUCUUUAUUGCUGGGUAGGAUCCCACUGAACGGAGAGACCUCAGUCUAUUUUUCCCCUCCACCCGUUGACGGACAGCUGGGCUGGUUCCAAUUUGGGGCUGCGAUGAAUAAAGCUGCCAUACUGUUGGCCUAUGAGUCUCUGUAU
Non-coding RNA from Puma concolor (puma), 856 nucleotides. Lineage: Eukaryota; Metazoa; Chordata; Mammalia; Carnivora; Felidae. The record is from RefSeq and is a predicted model, not a curated record.